GACAGAGCGUCUGGAGAGGCAGGAGGACACCGAGUUCCCCGUGUUGGCCUCCAGGUCCUGUGCUUGCGGAGCCGACUGGCGGCUGGGAUCGAGCCCCGACAAUGGGCAAUGCGCAGGAGCGGCCGUCGGAGACUAUCGACCGCGAGCGGAAACGCCUGGUCGAGACGCUGCAGGCGGACUCGGGGCUGCUGUUGGACGCGCUGCUGGCGCGGGGCGUGCUCACCGGGCCAGAGUACGAGGCAUUGGAUGCACUGCCUGAUGCCGAGCGCAGGGUGCGCCGCCUACUGCUGCUGGUGCAGGGCAAGGGCGAGGCCGCCUGCCAGGAGCUGCUGCGCUGUGCCCAGCGUACCGCGGGCGCGCCGGACCCCGCCUGGGACUGGCAGCACGUGGGUCCGGGUGAGCGCUCGUGGGGGGGCCUAGGGCAGAGCAGGGACGGGGCUGGGGCAGACAAAAGGCCGGGGGAGGGAGGGUUGUCGUCUCCGCUAGAAGUAGGCGAGUGUGAAACCGCACAGCGGUAAAUUGAGCCUCAGUCACUCCCACUUCCGCCCCAGGCUACCGGGACCGCAGCUAUGACCCUCCAUGCCCAGGCCACUGGACGCCGGAGGCACCUGGCUCGGGGACCACAUGCCCCGGGUUGCCCAGAGCUUCAGACCCCGACGAGGCCGGGGGCCCUGAGGGCUCCGAGGCGGUGCAAUCCGGGACCCCAGAGGAGCCAGAGCCAGAGCUGGAAGCUGAGGCCUCUGAAGAGGCUGAACCGGAGCCAGAGCCAGAGCUGGAACCCGAGCCUGAAGAAGCAGAACCAGAGCCGGAACUGGAGCCAGAACCGGACCCAGAGCCCGAGCCGGACUUCGAGGAAAGGGACGAGUCCGAAGAUUCCUGAAGGCCGGAGCUCUGACCGGCCGUGCCCCGCCCAUGCUGGAUAGGACCUGGGAUGCUGCUGGAGCUGAAUCGGAUGCCACCAAGGCUCGGUCCAGCCCAGUACUGCUGGAAGUGAAUAAACUCCGGAGGGUCGGACGGGACCUGGGCUCUCUCCACGAUUCUGGCUGUUUGCCCAGGAACUGAGGGUGGGUACCUCUGAGUCCCAGGGACCUGGGCACCCCCAAGCCCACCAUGAGCAUCAUCCAGUCCUCAGCCCUAAUCUGCCCUUAGGAGUCCAGGCUGCACCCUGGAGAUCCCAGACCCAGCCCCCUAGUGGAACAAGGACCUGACCCUCGUGCCUGCAUACACAACCCAUUUCCCCUCAUGAGCCACUUGGCACCCUAUGUAGGUACCAGCUCAACCCCAUGCAAGUCCCUGAGCUGAACAUGGAGCAAGGGGAGGGUGACUUCUCUCCACGUAGGGAGGGCUUAGAGCUCACAGCCUUGGGAAGUGAGAUUAGAAGAGGGGAGCAGAAACGGACCUUGAGUAGACAGAGACCACACACGUCAUUGUCAUUACUGUUUUAAUUGUCUGGCUUCCCUCUGGACUGGGAGCUCAGUGAGGAUUCUGACCAGUAACUUACACAAAA
This 1507-nucleotide small RNA is filed under the name Pongo abelii (Sumatran orangutan). RNAcentral's name for it is "retained intron". The record is from RNAcentral. Lineage: Eukaryota; Metazoa; Chordata; Mammalia; Primates; Hominidae.